Long non-coding RNA from Numida meleagris (helmeted guineafowl), 676 nucleotides. The record is from Ensembl. Lineage: Eukaryota; Metazoa; Chordata; Aves; Galliformes; Numididae.
CGCGUGUCGGGAUGUGCCAUCCCCCCGAAGCAGGUGCCAGCACCGCUCGCAGCGCAGGGCUGCAGCUCCCAUGGAAAGAAUUGUUGCCAGGGUUUCAGCGGUGACUCGCGGUCUCCGAGACUGGAUCCCUUGUUAGCAGGGGGCUAUCUGGGGAACACCCGCUCCGUGUUGCCUAGGCGCCUCGACCAGAGGGACCUGCACCUCCUCCCGCUGCUCCCAUUUGUUUUCCGAAGCACAGUCAGGCUGUUUCCUUUCAGGCUUUAGUUGUUACCUUGGAGGAAUGUUCUCCUGUUGUGAGAUCUCUGCUGGAUGUGGACAUGGCAGCGCAUCUUCAGAGCCGUCCACUCAUCAAGAAGAGAUGUCCUCUCUCAAAGUGGAGAUUGCCAUGGCCAAAAAAGUCAUGGAACAUACAGGUCUCCUCUCAUCCCAUCUUCCCUGUGGAUGAGGAGAGAAAUGUGUAAGAAGAGGAGGAACCUGUCCUCAAGGCAUGGUGAAAACUGUGACCACUUGGCUGCCGAAUCAUUGCAAGAGAGGAUUUGUCAUAAAAUAUAUUCUGCCACCUCGAUCUUCUCGUUUCUGCUCUCAAGUGCCAGCACACGCUCUCCUCCAGCAGCUCCUGAUGCCUUCCCAGCCCCGGUGCUGCACUGCCCAGCCCUGGGGGACCUGGAGAGCCUUU